UACGAAGGGUGCAAGCGUUACUCGGAAUUACUGGGCGUAAAGCAUACAUAGGUGAUUCGUUAAGUCUAAUGUGAAAGCCCUGGGCUCAACCUGGGAAUUGCAUUGGAUACUGGCGGGCUAGAGUGCGGUAGAGGAUGGCGGAAUUCCCGGUGUAGCAGUGAAAUGCGUAGAGAUCGGGAGGAACAUCUGUGGCGAAGGCGGCCAUCUGGACCAGCACUGACACAGAGGCACGAAAGCGUGGGGAGCAAACAGG
RNAcentral lists this ribosomal RNA (253 nucleotides) under uncultured bacterium. RNAcentral's name for it is "partial 16S ribosomal RNA". It matches the Rfam family "Bacterial small subunit ribosomal RNA", at positions 524 to 776 of the family's 1533-position model. The record is from RNAcentral.